UCGGGAAUUUUGGGCAAUGGGGGAAACCCUGACCCAGCAACGCCGCGUGAAGGAUGAAGUAUUUCGGUAUGUAAACUUCGAAAGAAUAGGAAGAAUAAAUGACGGUACUAUUUAUAAGGUCCGGCUAACUACGUGCCAGCAGCCGCGGUAAUACGUAGGGACCAAGCGUUGUUCGGAUUUACUGGGCGUAAAGGGCGCGUAGGCGGCAAUUCAAGUCAUCUGUGAAAUCUCCGGGCUUAACUCGGAACGGUCAGAUGAUACUGCUUUGCUAGAGUGCAGAAGGGGCAAUCGGAAUUCUUGGUGUAGCGGUGAAAUGCGUAGAUAUCAAGAGGAACACCUGAGGUGAAGACGGGUUGCUGGGCUGACACUGACGCUGAGGCGCGAAAGCCAGGGGAGCAAACGGGAUUAGAUACCCACGUAGUCCCUGAGCGGGC
Molecule: ribosomal RNA, 434 nt
Filed under: uncultured bacterium
Lineage: Bacteria
Description: bacterial SSU rRNA
Rfam family: Bacterial small subunit ribosomal RNA
Source: RNAcentral